This 253-nucleotide ribosomal RNA is filed under the name uncultured bacterium. RNAcentral's name for it is "partial 16S ribosomal RNA". It matches the Rfam family "Bacterial small subunit ribosomal RNA", at positions 524 to 776 of the family's 1533-position model. The record is from RNAcentral.
UACAGAGGUCCCAAGCGUUGUUCGGAUUCACUGGGCGUAAAGGGUGCGUAGGUGGCUUGGUAAGUUUGAUGUGAAAUCUCCGGGCUUAACCCGGAAAUGGCAUUGAAUACUAUUGAGCUGGAGGUUUGGAGGGGGGACUGGAAUUCUCGGUGUAGCAGUGAAAUGCGCAGAUAUCGGGAGGAACACCUAUGGCGAAGGCAGCUCGCUGGGACGUUACUGACGCUGAGACGCGAAAGCGUGGGGAGCGAACAGG